Molecule: ribosomal RNA, 376 nt
Filed under: uncultured organism
Description: partial 16S ribosomal RNA
Rfam family: Bacterial small subunit ribosomal RNA
Source: RNAcentral
GGAGGGUGCAAGCGUUGUUCGGAAUUAUUGGGCGUAAAGAGCGUGUAGGCGGUCCGGUAAGUCAGAUGUGAAAGCCCUGGGCUCAACCCAGGAAGUGCAUUUGAAACUACCAGACUUGAGUACGGGAGAGGAGGGGGGAAUUCCCGGUGUAGAGGUGAAAUUCGUAGAUAUCGGGAGGAAUACCAGUGGCGAAGGCGCCCCUCUGGACCGAUACUGACGCUGAGACGCGAAAGCGUGGGGAGCAAACAGGAUUAGAUACCCUGGGUAGUCCACGCCGUGAACGAUGAGCACUAGGUGUAGCGGGUAUUGACCCCCCUGCUGUGCCCGUAGCUAACGCAUUAAGUGCUACGCCUGGGGGACUACGGUCGCAAGACUA